This 279-nucleotide ribosomal RNA is filed under the name uncultured bacterium. RNAcentral's name for it is "partial 16S ribosomal RNA". It matches the Rfam family "Bacterial small subunit ribosomal RNA", at positions 355 to 625 of the family's 1533-position model. The record is from RNAcentral.
UAGGGAAUCUUCCACAAUGGACGCAAGUCUGAUGGAGCAACGCCGCGUGAGUGAAGAAGGCUUUCGGGUCGUAAAACUCUGUUAUUGAAGAAGAACGUGUGUGACAGUAACUGGUCAUGCAGUGACGGUAUUCAAUCAGAAAGUCACGGCUAACUACGUGCCAGCAGCCGCGGUAAUACGUAGGUGGCAAGCGUUGUCCGGAUUUAUUGGGCGUAAAGCGAGUGCAGGCGGUCUUUUAAGUCUGAUGUGAAAGCCUUCGGCUUAACCGAAGAAGGGGCA